GAUGAACGCUGGCGGCGUACCUAAUACAUGCAAGUCGAGCGAACAGACGAGGAGCUUGCUCCUCUGACGUUAGCGGCGGACGGGUGAGUAACACGUGGAUAACCUACCUAUAAGACUGGGAUAACUUCGGGAAACCGGAGCUAAUACCGGAUAAUAUAUUGAACCGCAUGGUUCAAUAGUGAAAGACGGUUUUGCUGUCACUUAUAGAUGGAUCCGCGCCGCAUUAGCUAGUUGGUAAGGUAACGGCUUACCAAGGCAACGAUGCGUAGCCGACCUGAGAGGGUGGACCGCCACCAUGGGAGCGGAGCCAGGGCCAAGACCCCUCGGGGAGGAGCCAGUGGGGAUCUUCCGCCAAGGGGCAAAGUCUGGAGGGACCACCCCCGGGGGAGGAAGAAAGUUUUUCGUAUCUAAAACCUUUUUUAUGGGGAAAAAAAAAAUGUAUAAGAAACUAUGCCCGUCUUGACGUCACCUAAUCAGAAACCCCCGGCUAACUCCGUC
This 498-nucleotide ribosomal RNA is filed under the name uncultured bacterium. RNAcentral's name for it is "partial 16S ribosomal RNA". It matches the Rfam family "Bacterial small subunit ribosomal RNA", at positions 28 to 507 of the family's 1533-position model. The record is from RNAcentral.